UGUGUGUAUGCAUAUGGGGAACUGAAGAUGCCCAGCCAGAGUUGUGAGCUUCCAGUCUUUCAGCAAAGGAAGAAGAGCUUUAGAAAAAUCAGAGUAAUAUGAUCAGAUCGCCCCACCAGUGGCUCAACAAUCUGUCCUCGUGUACACUUUGAAGAAAGCACAGGUGGUGAAGUGUCUCAUUUCAAGUUGUUGUGGUUUUCUGCCAUGGAGGAAAGUGUUGAAAAAAAAGGGAACUAUACAGCAUAAAGAUGGGUUUUCACAGAUCCUGUCAAGAUAUUCACUGCCCCUACACCCUCCAAAAGAU
Molecule: long non-coding RNA, 304 nt
Filed under: Homo sapiens (human)
Lineage: Eukaryota; Metazoa; Chordata; Mammalia; Primates; Hominidae
Description: non-protein coding lnc-TBCCD1-4:52
Source: RNAcentral